RNAcentral lists this unclassified non-coding RNA (520 nucleotides) under uncultured Glomus. Its description in RNAcentral is "SSU rRNA". It matches the Rfam family "Eukaryotic small subunit ribosomal RNA", at positions 569 to 1090 of the family's 1831-position model. The record is from RNAcentral. Lineage: Eukaryota; Fungi; Glomeromycota; Glomeromycetes; Glomerales; Glomeraceae.
AGCAGCCGCGGUAAUUCCAGCUCCAAUAGCGUAUAUUAAAGUUGUUGCAGUUAAAAAGCUCGUAGUUGAAUUUCGGGGUUAGUAGGUUGGUCAUGCCUCUGGUAUGUACUGGUCUCACUGAUUCCUCCUUCCUGAUGAGCCGUAAUGCCAUUAAUUUGGUGUUGCGGGGAAUUUGGACUGUUACUUUGAAAAAAUUAGAGUGUUUAAAGCAAGCUAACGCUUGAAUACAUUAGCAUGGAAUAAUGAAAUAGGACGUUCGAUCCUAUUUUGUUGGUUUCUAGGAUUGACGUAAUGAUUAAUAGGGAUAGUUGGGGGCAUUAGUAUUCAAUUGUUAGAGGUGAAAUUCUUGGAUUUAUUGAAGACUAACUACUGCGAAAGCAUUUGCCAAGGAUGUUUUCAUUAAUCAAGAACGAAAGUUAGGGGAUCGAAGACGAUCAGAUACCGUCGUAGUCUUAACCAUAAACUAUGCCGACUAGGGAUCGGAUGAUGUUAAUUUUUUAAUGACUCAUUCGGCGCCUUA